CCCAGACUCCUACGGGAGGCAGCAGUGGGGAAUAUUGGGCAAUGGGCGCAAGCCUGACCCAGCAACGCCGCGUGAAGGAAGAAGGCUUUCGGGUUGUAAACUUCUUUUAAGAGGGAAGAGUAGAAGACGGUACCUCUUGAAUAAGCCACGGCUAACUACGUGCCAGCAGCCGCGGUAAUACGUAGGUGGCAAGCGUUGUCCGGAUUUACUGGGUGUAAAGGGCGUGUAGCCGGGCCGGCAAGUCAGAUGUGAAAGCCCAAGGCUCAACCUUGGAACUGCAUUUGAAACUGUUGGUCUUGAGUAUCGGAGAGGCAGGCGGAAUUCCUAGUGUAGCGGUGAAAUGCGUAGAUAUUAGGAGGAACACCAGUGGCGAAGGCGGCCUGCUGGACGACAACUGACGGUGAGGCGCGAAAGCGUGGGGAGCAAACAGGAUUAGAUACCCGCGUAC
RNAcentral lists this ribosomal RNA (448 nucleotides) under uncultured bacterium. RNAcentral's name for it is "partial 16S ribosomal RNA". It matches the Rfam family "Bacterial small subunit ribosomal RNA", at positions 330 to 793 of the family's 1533-position model. The record is from RNAcentral.